CUUCCGUUAUUGGUUAUGACGUGCUUGCACUGAAUGUUUUUUUAACACGAAGUGAGUGGCGGACGGGUGAGUAACACGUGGGUAACCUGCCCAGAAGCAGGGGAUAACACCUGGAAACAGAUGCUAAUACCGUAUAACAGAGAAAACCGCCUGGUUUUCUUUUAAAAGAUGGCUCUGCUAUCACUUCUGGAUGGACCCGCGGCGCAUUAGCUAGUUGGUGAGGUAACGGCUCACCAAGGCGAUGAUGCGUAGCCGACCUGAGAGGGUAAUCGGCCACAUUGGGACUGAGACACGGCCCAGACUCCUACGGGAGGCAGCAGUAGGGAAUCUUCCACAAUGGACGCAAGUCUGAUGGAGCAACGCCGCGUGAGUGAAGAAGGGUUUCGGCUCGUAAAGCUCUGUUGUUAAAGAAGAACGUGGGUGAGAGUAACUGUUCACCCAGUGACGGUAUUUAACCAGAAAGCCACGGCUAACUACGUGCCAGCAGCCGCGGUAAUACGUAGGUGGCAAGCGUUAUCCGGUUUUAUUGGGCGUAAAGCGAGCGCAGGGCGGUCUUUUAAGUCUUAUGUGAAUACCCUUUCGGCUCACCAGAAGAGGGCAUUCGGCAAUCUGGGAGACUUGGAGGGCAGAAGUAGGACGGUGGCAACUUCCAUGGUGUA
RNAcentral lists this ribosomal RNA (659 nucleotides) under Pediococcus acidilactici. Its description in RNAcentral is "bacterial SSU rRNA". It matches the Rfam family "Bacterial small subunit ribosomal RNA", at positions 36 to 680 of the family's 1533-position model. Lineage: Bacteria; Bacillati; Bacillota; Bacilli; Lactobacillales; Lactobacillaceae. The record is from RNAcentral.